This 497-nucleotide ribosomal RNA is filed under the name uncultured bacterium. RNAcentral's name for it is "partial 16S ribosomal RNA". It matches the Rfam family "Bacterial small subunit ribosomal RNA", at positions 28 to 507 of the family's 1533-position model. The record is from RNAcentral.
GAUGAACGCUGGCGGCGUGCCUAAUACAUGCAAGUAGAACGCUGAAGGAAGGAGCUUGCUCUUUCCGGAUGAGUUGCGAACGGGUGAGUAACGCGUAGGUAACCUGCCUGGUAGCGGGGGAUAACUAUUGGAAACGAUAGCUAAUACCGCAUAACAGUAGAUGUUGCAUGACAACUAUUUGAAAGGGGCAAUUGCUCCACUACUGGAUGGACCUGCGUUGUAUUAGCUAGUUGGUGAGGUAACGGCUCACCAAGGCGACGAUACAUAGCCGACCUGAGAGGGGGAGCGGCGACACUGGGACGGAGACGCGGCCCAGACUCCUACAGGAGGCAGCAGUAGGGAAUCUUCGGCAAUGGACGGAAGUCUGACCGAGCAACGCCGCGUGAGUGAAGAAUGUUUUCGGAUCGUAAAGCUCUGUUGUAAAAGAAGAACGAGUGUGAGAGUGGAAAGUUCACACUGUGACGGUAUCUUACCAGAAAGGGACGGCUAACUACGUG